AUUGAACGCUGGCGGCAGGCCUAACACAUGCAAGUCGAACGGUAGCACAGAGAGCUUGCUCUCGGGUGACGAGUGGCGGACGGGUGAGUAAUGUCUGGGAAACUGCCUGAUGGAGGGGGAUAACUACUGGAAACGGUAGCUAAUACCGCAUAACGUCGCAAGACCAAAGAGGGGGACCUUCGGGCCUCUUGCCAUCAGAUGUGCCCAGAUGGGAUUAGCUAGUAGGUGGGGUAACGGCUCACCUAGGCGACGAUCCCUAGCUGGUCUGAGAGGAUGACCAGCCACACUGGAACUGAGACACGGUCCAGACCCCUACGGGAGGCAGCAGUGGGGAAUAUUGCACAAUGGGCGCAAGCCUGAUGCAGCCAUGCCGCGUGUAGGAAGAAGGCCUUCGGGUUGUAAAGUACUUUCAGCGGGGAGGAAGGCGAUAAGGUUAAUAACCUUGUCGAUUGACGUUACCCGCAGAAGAAGCACCGGCUAACUCCGUGCCAGCAGCCGCCGUAA
This 504-nucleotide ribosomal RNA is filed under the name uncultured bacterium. RNAcentral describes it as "partial 16S ribosomal RNA". It matches the Rfam family "Bacterial small subunit ribosomal RNA", at positions 30 to 523 of the family's 1533-position model. The record is from RNAcentral.